CAAGAAACAAGCAGGGGGGUGACAUCCCCAUUUCCAAACCCUAACUCAAGCAAAAUCCCUUCAAUUGAAGCCCCAAAUCAGUUCCAAAUCGAGCUCUAAUCACAUAUUAGUAAACACCUCGUUGUAAGGAUCAAAAGGCAAAGAGUCCGGUUCCUCUAGCGGGCAAGCCGGAGGGGAUUCACGAGGAAAAGGCGCGCUCUAAAGGUAUGAAAUUUAUCUCUGGUCGAUCAAGAAACAAGCAGGGGGCGACAUCCCCAUUUCCAAACCCUAACUCAAGCAAAAUCCCUUCAAUUGAAGCCCCAAAUCAGUUCCAAAUCGAGCUCUAAUCACAUAUUAGUAAACACCUCGUUGUAAGGAUCAAAAGGCAAAGAGUCCGGUUCCUCUAGCGGGCAAGCCGGAGGGGAUUCACGAGUAAAAGGCGCGCUCUAAAGUUCUCAGGUACCCAAGUAAAGGAUGAAGAUCAAGCAAGCGAGUCGAACCGAACACACACAUUUUUAGAACGCUUCCGCAUCCGAACUUUUGUUUUAAAAACUAUGUAAACUAAUGGUAGUUACCGUCUUGAAUGUGGUUUGUAACAACAAUACAUGUAUGUUGUGUUUAGUUUUGGGUUUAAAUGAUGAAAGUUUUUGUUAAGUCGUCAUUUUGGCGUUAAAU
This 654-nucleotide long non-coding RNA is filed under the name Helianthus annuus (common sunflower). The record is from RNAcentral. Lineage: Eukaryota; Viridiplantae; Streptophyta; Magnoliopsida; Asterales; Asteraceae.